CACCUCUAGCAUUUCCAGUAUUAGAGGCACUGCCUGCCCAGUGACAUCUGUUUAAACGGCCGCGGUAUCCUAACCGUGCAAAGGUAGCAUAAUCACUUGUUCCCUAAAUAGGGACUUGUAUGAAUGGCCACACGAGGGUUUUACUGUCUCUUACUUCCAAUCAGUGAAAUUGACCUUCCCGUGAAGAGGCGGGAAUGACUAAAUAAGACGAGAAGACCCUAUGGAGCUUUAAUUAACUGAUUCACAAAAAACAACACACAAACCUAACCUUCAGGGACAACAAAACUUUUGAUUGAAUCAGCAAUUUCGGUUGGGGUGACCUCGGAGAACAAAACAACCUCCGAGUGAUUUAAAUCCAGACUAACCAGUCAAAAUAUAUAACCACUUAUUGAUCCAAACCAUUGAUCAACGGAACAAGUUACCCUAGGGAUAACAGCGCAAUCCUAUUCCAGAGUCCAUAUCGACAAUUAGGGUUUACGACCUCGAUGUUGGAUCAAGACAUCCUAAUGGUGCAACCGCUAUUAAGGGUUCGUUUGUUCAACGAUUAAAGUCUU
This 554-nucleotide ribosomal RNA is filed under the name Equus caballus (horse). RNAcentral's name for it is "partial large subunit ribosomal RNA". It matches the Rfam family "Bacterial large subunit ribosomal RNA", at positions 1816 to 2597 of the family's 2925-position model. The record is from RNAcentral. Lineage: Eukaryota; Metazoa; Chordata; Mammalia; Perissodactyla; Equidae.